GAUGAACGCUAGCUACAGGCUUAACACAUGCAAGUCGAGGGGCAGCAUGAUUGAAGCUUGCUUCAAUUGAUGGCGACCGGCGCACGGGUGAGUAACACGUAUCCAACCUUCCGUACACUCAGGGAUAGCCUUUCGAAAGAAAGAUUAAUACCUGAUGGUAUGAUGAGAUCGCAUGGUAUCAUCAUUAAAGAUUUAUCGGUGUACGAUGGGGAUGCGUUCCAUUAGGUAGUAGGCGGGGUAACGGCCCACCUAGCCUACGAUGGAUAGGGGUUCUGAGAGGAAGGUCCCCCANAUUGGAACUGAGACACGGUCCAAACUCCUACGGGAGCAGCAGUGAGGAAUAUUGGUCAAUGGACGAGAGUCUGAACCAGCCAAGUAGCGUGAAGGAUGAAGGUCCUACGGAUUGUAAACUUCUUUAUAAGGGAAUAAAACCUCCACGUGUGGGAGCUUGUAUGUACCUUAUGAAUAAGCAUCGGCUAACUCCGU
Molecule: ribosomal RNA, 486 nt
Filed under: uncultured bacterium
Lineage: Bacteria
Description: bacterial SSU rRNA
Rfam family: Bacterial small subunit ribosomal RNA
Source: RNAcentral